GUUACACUAUUGUCAAUUAUUUCAACUGCAUAACCUUUCAGUUACAGAGUGUUAUAAUUAAUAAUUGAUAAGUGACAAUUAUCAAAUUACUACGAAACGAAAUUCAUGGAAAGUUUUGAUAGAGCAUAUAAAAUAUGAUUAGCCAAUCAAUUUUAAGUACACUUAAUAUAUUUAGGUUAUGUAUUAUAUUCAAGUAAAGUACGAUCAAGUAUGUACGAUUAUAGCGCGAUAGAUCGUGAUUGUAAUCUAUAAGUAUUAAAACACAUUGUGAUUAAUUACACAUUGAUAAACAAUUUUGAAGAUAAUAUAAAUCACGUUUAGCAUACAUGUGAGAGAUAUAGCUGGAUAUUUUCUGUUUUGCAUAAACGCAAACAGAAAGAUUAUAUAAAAAUGAAUUAUCAGUUGUGGGGGAUUACUACUGCCUUUAUCGGUCUUCAUGUUUUGUGGUAUAAAAUACAAUGUAGAAUACCAGAAGAAGAUCGACGUCCACAUCCCUUUGUAACAAUCUAUCAGCGGAUUAUGAAGAAAGAUAGUAGAUAAUCAGAGAUAAUAUACUUGUAUAAUGUGUAAUAAAUGUUGUUAGCAUGUAAUGCCUGCAGUAAUAAACCACUUUAAUUAAGUAA
This is a long non-coding RNA of Bombus pyrosoma, 623 nucleotides long. RefSeq lists it as uncharacterized. The transcript has 2 exons. The record is from RefSeq and is a predicted model, not a curated record. Lineage: Eukaryota; Metazoa; Arthropoda; Insecta; Hymenoptera; Apidae.